Molecule: long non-coding RNA, 544 nt
Filed under: Marmota monax (woodchuck)
Lineage: Eukaryota; Metazoa; Chordata; Mammalia; Rodentia; Sciuridae
Source: RNAcentral
CAGAUGCCACGUUUGCAUGGUGAGAAUGUCCCUGGAGCACCCCAGGGACGGCCUGUUAACUUCUCAUAAGUGUUGCCCCUUCAUUAAAAAAAUCCUAGCUUUUCCUUUUCCAUACUCCACCUCCUCCCACCCCCAACCGAAGCCCAGAUUUUGAGCAGCACGAGGUGGGAAUUGAAGAACUCCACCAGGGUCAAGCUGUGGCCCUGGGGGGUGCCCUGAGUGGACAGGAGGGCCACAUGGGUCUGCCUCUGAGGAUCAAGCCUGCAUGCUGAGACCUAGGGUGGUCCCUGGCCACUCUCUUUAAGCAUCUGGACAUGUGUUUGACCCCACACUGCCCACACUGAGCUGAGAGUGAGGACGUGCAGUCCCUGUGACUCGGCCCCGAGAAUGCUGCACAGAAAGGGUGGUUUGCUCUUCCUGCUGGACUCCAUUAGCCAUGACCUCUGAGAGCUGUGCUCAGAUGAUCAUCCACCCGGAAAUUUGUUUUUAAGCACCUAAGUCUGUAAGCACGGCUUUCCCUCUAGCUGGGAGUUCUGCCUUAUCC